Molecule: transfer RNA, 69 nt
Filed under: Cucujoidea sp. 39 KM-2017
Lineage: Eukaryota; Metazoa; Arthropoda; Insecta; Coleoptera
Description: tRNA-Gln
Source: RNAcentral
UAUGUUUUAGUAUAAGAUGUACGGAAAUUUUUGAUAUUUUCAGAAGUAGUUUAAUUCUGCUAAACAUAA